GUCUGUGUGUGUGAUCAAUGCCUUACUCAUAUACUAACCGUCCUGAUUAACGUUUAUUAAUCGAAAGUCUUCGCAAAUGUGUAUUGCGUUUACGAGUAACUAGAAACAAUGUACGCUUGAGGUCGAACCAAUCGUAAAACUAAUCUACUAAUGCUCAAACGGUUGCUAUUCAACUGACACAUUGCUGUUCGUGUAUGAUUACAUAGAAAACAUACUGCGUACGUGAAUAAGUAUGCAAAA
This 240-nucleotide long non-coding RNA is filed under the name Mytilus galloprovincialis (Mediterranean mussel). The record is from RNAcentral. Lineage: Eukaryota; Metazoa; Mollusca; Bivalvia; Mytilida; Mytilidae.